RNAcentral lists this ribosomal RNA (492 nucleotides) under Ophelina sp. B2SC00P1. RNAcentral's name for it is "partial 16S ribosomal RNA". It matches the Rfam family "Bacterial large subunit ribosomal RNA", at positions 1825 to 2601 of the family's 2925-position model. The record is from RNAcentral. RNAcentral also lists the same sequence under 1 other name. Lineage: Eukaryota; Metazoa; Annelida; Polychaeta; Opheliidae.
ACAUUGCCUGUAGGUAAAGAAUAUUGCAGGUACGUCCUGCCCAGUGACAUAGUUAAACGGCCGCGGUACCCUGACCGUGCAAAGGUAGCAUAAUCAUUUGCCCUUUAAUUGGGGGCUAGUAUGAAUGGAUACACGAGAGAAAAGCUGUCUCUUUCCUAUAAUUAAAAAUUAACUUUUAGGUGAAGAGGCCUGGAUUAAAAUAAAGGACAAGAAGACCCUAUUGAGCUUGAUUUAAGCUAAGUAUGGGUUUAUUUGGUUUUAAUUUGGUUGGGGCGACAAAGGAAGGCCCUUUUCUUCCUUCUUUUUUUGGCUUUCAUGCCCAUAAUGAUCCGGGUUUCGAUUAAUGGAUAUAGCUACCAUAGGGAUAACAGGCUAAUCCUCCUAGAGAGCUCAUAUUGACAGGAGGGGUUGGCACCUCGAUGUUGGCUUAGGGCAUCCUGCUGGUGUAGCAGCCAGCAAAGGUGGGUUUGUUCAACCCAUAAAGCCCUACGU